Molecule: ribosomal RNA, 263 nt
Filed under: uncultured bacterium
Lineage: Bacteria
Description: partial 16S ribosomal RNA
Rfam family: Bacterial small subunit ribosomal RNA
Source: RNAcentral
GUCCACGCCCUAAACGAUGUCUACUAGUUGUUGGUGGAGUAAAUCCAUGAGUAACGCAGCUAACGCGUGAAGUAGACCGCCUGGGGAGUACGGUCGCAAGAUUAAAACUCAAAUGAAUUGACGGGGCCCGCACAAGCGGUGGAUUAUGUGGAUUAAUUCGAUGCAACGCGAAAACCUUACCUGGCCUUGACAUGUAACGAACUUUCCAGAGAUGGAUUGGUGCUCGAAAGAGAACGUUAACACAGGUGCUGCAUGGCUGUCGU